Molecule: small RNA, 83 nt
Filed under: Aquimarina intermedia
Lineage: Bacteria; Pseudomonadati; Bacteroidota; Flavobacteriia; Flavobacteriales; Flavobacteriaceae
Description: Flavo-1 RNA
Rfam family: Flavo-1 RNA
Source: Rfam by way of RNAcentral
UACUUGCGUAAGCGAUAGCAAUGACAUCCUUUUUAUAGUUUUAAAAAAACCGUAAAAAGAUAUAAUGGAUAGCGCGACCCAAA